AACCUCCGCAAUGUGAGAAAUCGCGACGGGGGGAUCCCAAGUGCCAUUCUUAACGGGAUGGCUUUUCAUUAGUGUAAAGAGCUUUUGGAAUAAGAGCUGGGCAAGACCGGUGCCAGCCGCCGCGGUAACACCGGCAGCUCUAGUGGUAGCAAUUUUUAUUGGGCCUAAAGCGUCCGUAGCCGGUUUAAUAAGUCUCUGGUGAAAUCCUGCAGCUUAACUGUGGGAAUUGCUGGAGAUACUAUUAGACUUGAGAUCGGGAGAGGUUAGAGGUACUCCCAGGGUAGAGGUGAAAUUCUGUAAUCCUGGGAGGACCGCCUGUUGCGAAGGCGUCUAACUGGAACGGUUCUGACGGUGAGGGACGAAAGUUGGGGGCGCGAACCGGAUUAGAUACCCGGGUAGUCCUAACUGUAACGAUGCGGACUUGGUGUUGGGGUGGCUUUGAGCUGCUCCAGUGCCGAAGGGAAGCUGUUAAGUCCGCCGCCUGGGAAGUACGGUCGCAAGACUGAAACUUAAAGGAAUU
RNAcentral lists this ribosomal RNA (520 nucleotides) under uncultured bacterium. RNAcentral's name for it is "bacterial SSU rRNA". It matches the Rfam family "Archaeal small subunit ribosomal RNA", at positions 345 to 866 of the family's 1478-position model. The record is from RNAcentral.